GAUGAACGCUGGCGGCGUGCUUAACACAUGCAAGUCGAACGGGAAUUAUUUUAUUGAAACUUCGGUCGAUUUAAUUUAAUUCUAGUGGCGGACGGGUGAGUAACGCGUGGGUAACCUGCCUUAUACAGGGGGAUAACAGUCAGAAAUGGCUGCUAAUACCGCAUCAGCGCACAGAGCUGCAUGGCUCAGUGUGGAAAACUCCGGUGGUAUAAGAGGGACCCGCGUUGGAUUAGCUGGUUGGUGGGGUAACGGCCCACCAAGGCGACGAUCCAUAGCCGGCAUGAGAGGGGGAACGGCCACAUUGGGACUGAGCCACGGCCCAGACUCCUACGGGAGGCAGCAGUGGGGAAUAUUGCACAAUGGGGGAAACCAUGAUGCAGCGACGACGCGUGAAGGAAGAAGUAUCUCGGUAUGUAAACUUCUAUCAGCAGGGAAGAUAGUGACGGUACCUGACUAAGAAGCCCCGGCUAACUACGUG
RNAcentral lists this ribosomal RNA (478 nucleotides) under uncultured bacterium. RNAcentral's name for it is "partial 16S ribosomal RNA". It matches the Rfam family "Bacterial small subunit ribosomal RNA", at positions 28 to 507 of the family's 1533-position model. The record is from RNAcentral.